RNAcentral lists this unclassified non-coding RNA (253 nucleotides) under uncultured bacterium. RNAcentral describes it as "contains 16S-23S intergenic spacer region". It matches the Rfam family "Bacterial small subunit ribosomal RNA", at positions 524 to 776 of the family's 1533-position model. The record is from RNAcentral.
UACAGAGGUGGCAAGCGUUGUUCGGAUUCACUGGGCGUAAAGGGUGCGUAGGUGGUUUGGUAAGUUGGAUGUGAAAGGCCACAGCUCAACUGGGGAAUUGCAUCCAAAACUAUCUUACUAGAGGAUUUGGGAAGUGAGCGGAAUUCUAGGUGUAGCGGUGAAAUGCGUAGAUAUCUAGAAGAACACCGGUGGCGUAGGCGGCUCACUAUCAUUCUCCUGACACUGAUGCACGAAAGCAUGGGGAGCAAACGGG